CCCUUAGAUGUUCUGGGCCGCACGCGCGCUACACCGAUGCAUUCAACGAGUUUCUUCCUGGUCCGAGAGGAAUGGGUAACCUUUUGAAAGUGCAUCGUGAUAGGGAUAGACUAUUGCAAUUAUUGGUCUUCAACGAGGAAUUCCUAGUAGACGUAGUUCAUCAGACUGCAUCGAUUACGUCCCUGCCCUUUGUACACACCGCCCGUCGCUCCUACCGAUUGAGUGGUCCGGUGAGGCUUUGGGAUCUGAGCGGAAAGAGCGUUUCGCUGUUUCUGCUCGGAAAACUCAGUCGAACCUUAUCAUUUAGAGGAAGGAGAAGUCGUAACA
RNAcentral lists this ribosomal RNA (327 nucleotides) under uncultured eukaryote. RNAcentral's name for it is "partial 18S ribosomal RNA". It matches the Rfam family "Eukaryotic small subunit ribosomal RNA", at positions 1470 to 1796 of the family's 1831-position model. The record is from RNAcentral.